UACUCGAGUGGCGAACGGGUGAGUAACACGUGGGUGAUCUGCCCUGCACUUCGGGAUAAGCCUGGGAAACUGGGUCUAAUACCGGAUAGGACCACAUUUUGGAUGGUGUGGUGGAAAGUUUUUCGGUGUGGGAUGAGCUCGCGGCCUAUCAGCUUGCUGGUGGGGUAAUGGCCUACCAAGGCGUCGACGGGUAGCCGGCCUGAGAGGGUGUACGGCCACAUUGGGACUGAGAUACGGCCCAG
RNAcentral lists this ribosomal RNA (242 nucleotides) under uncultured Actinomycetales bacterium. Its description in RNAcentral is "partial 16S ribosomal RNA". It matches the Rfam family "Bacterial small subunit ribosomal RNA", at positions 88 to 334 of the family's 1533-position model. Lineage: Bacteria; Bacillati; Actinomycetota; Actinomycetes; Actinomycetales. The record is from RNAcentral.